Hemicordylus capensis (graceful crag lizard) is the source of this 1727-nucleotide long non-coding RNA. RefSeq lists it as uncharacterized. The record is from RefSeq and is a predicted model, not a curated record. The transcript is spliced from 2 exons. NCBI's taxonomy places the organism in Eukaryota, Metazoa, Chordata, Lepidosauria, Squamata, Cordylidae.
UCCAUAUGCAGAUAGGGAGGAGGAGCCUGUGAUGGUUAAGGUCAGUUGGAAUGCAACUGUUACUGGUCAGAAGAUGUUCUUGAUUGUAGAGGAGAGGAAUCUAUCUAUCUAUCUAUAUAAGGAUAGAGGGCAGGGGUCUGUGAAGAGAGGGGUCAUGAAGGAGGAAAGAGCCCCUUCAGCUGAAAGACGUUGCUGUUGUGUGAAUUAGAUGAGGAAACAAGAUGAACAAGAUCUGUUUACUUAGGAAGGGGGAGAGACUGAGAGAGAGAGAAGGAAAGAAAGAAAGAGACAGGAAGAAGGGAAGGGAAAAAGACAGAGGGGAAGAGCGAGGGACGGAUCCGAGUCUGUCAGCAGCCUGAGAGGAACGAGCAGCCAUGGCGGUGCUGGCAGUGAGGAAGGGCCUGUUCAACCACUGCUGCUGCUGCUCCUGUGGCGAGGUGCAGGAAAGGGGCUCGAGUGAGGGUGGGGAGGUCUCUGGGGAUAGGAGGCUGCAGCUUCAUCAAUAGGCACCAGCAACAUUGCAGCCACGACCAAGACAGAAUAAACAAACAAACCAUGGCGACUGAAAGGAAGCAUGACAAAUUGAUGCAGGAGAGAGCCCAAUAAAUGAGCUGCUCAAAUCUCCAUCCACUGAAAGGCACCAAGCAGGGACUUCAUCAGUAUUCCUUCUUUCCUGGGGCAGGAAAAGAAAUGAUGGAUUGCAUUUCCGAAGACCCAUGCCGUGUUAUCAAUUCCACCCACUCUUCAAGCAAGACCAAUAUGCUGAGUGCCAGGCAGAAGCUUGGAGGCUGCUAUUCAUCUCAGUUUGGAAACUAGACUUCAGAAACAGAUGGAGGGAAGAGCAAUGCAGAAUCCCACCAGGAACAUGGGCAGGGGGUGGCCUAAUGCUGAGGAUACUGUUCUCAAAAACUGGUAAGAUCGGAGCUGGUGGGGGUGUGAUCCUGUAGUUCUGUGUAUUCAGAACACAAGAGCAGAAAGUGCUAUUGGGCCAGGCAUGAGAAUCUGUAGAAGGAUGUUGAUAAACUGGAAGGUUUCAAAAGUUGGCAGCCGAGAUGGUGAGUGGUCUGGAAACUAAGCCUUGUGAGGAAUGGUUGAAGGAACUAGGUAUGUUUAGCCCGGAGAAGAGAAACCUAAGGGGAGAUAUAAUUACCAUCUUCAAAUAAGGGAUUGUCACACAGAAGAAGAAGCAGACUUGUUCUUUGUUGCUCCUGAGUAGGGGUGUGCAUGGACCGUUUGGCAUGAUUUGUUUUGAAUUUGGACCGAACCACGCCAAAGUGAACUGGUUCAGACGAAGCGAUUGGCUGGGCUGAUCGGUUAGACAAAGCAGCUUGCACCAGUUCAAAGUGGUUUGAAAUUGAACCACUCGGCCUGGUUCGCAGCGGUCUGGUUCGCAAGUGAACCAGUUCUGCAUAUCCUUAGGCAGCUCUAGAAUCAAUGGGUCAAAAUGACAAGGAAGCAAAUAUAGGCUAGACAUUAGGAAGAAUUUCCUAACUGUAAGGGCUGUUUGACAGUGGAAUAGUCUUCCUCACACAAUGGUGGGCUCUGCUUCUCUGGAGGUUUUCAAGCAGAGGCUGGACAACCAUCUGUCAGGGAUGCUGUAGCAGAUUCCUGGACUGAGCAGGGCAUUGGACUAGAAGACCUCCAAGGUUCCUUCUAACUCUAAAAUACUAUUCUGUAAUUCAUGCUGGGGUUUAUUUGUUUUCUUUAAUAAAAUGAAAUGCCUUAUU